AAAAACAUUUCUUCUUAGUUUAAGAAGUAAGGCCUGCUCMCUGAAAAUUUAAAGAGCCGCAGUAUCCUGACUGUGCUAAGGUAGCAUAAUCAUUAGUCUUUUAAUUGAAGGCUGGUAUGAAUGGCUUAACGAGAGAUUGACUUUUUUUGUUAUAUUAAUUGAAAUUAAUUUUUUAGUGAAAAAGCUAAAAUUUUUCAGAAAGACGAGAAGACCCUAUAGAGUUUUAUGUUUAGUUUUAUUUUUUAUCAUUAGAUUUUUAAAGAGAUAAUAUUAUCAAACAUUUUGUUGGGGCGACAUUAAGAUAUAAAAAACUCUUAUUUUUUUAAAUUUUAUUAAAAAUAAUUGUUGAUCCUUUAAAAAAGAUCAUAAGAAAAAAUUACCUUAGGGAUAACAGCGUAAUCUUUUUUGAGAGUUCUAAUCGACAAAAAGGUUUGCGACCUCGAUGUUGGACUAAAAUUUAGGCAAAGUGCAGCUGCUUUGUUUUAAGGUCUGUUCGACCUAUAAUA
RNAcentral lists this ribosomal RNA (506 nucleotides) under Neotrevathana elongata. Its description in RNAcentral is "Neotrevathana elongatum partial 16S ribosomal RNA". It matches the Rfam family "Bacterial large subunit ribosomal RNA", at positions 1809 to 2593 of the family's 2925-position model. Lineage: Eukaryota; Metazoa; Arthropoda; Thecostraca; Balanomorpha; Pyrgomatidae. The record is from RNAcentral.